CCUACGGGAGGCAGCAGUGGGGAAUAUUGGACAAUGGGGGGAACCCUGAUCCAGCCAUGCCGCGUGUGUGAAGAAGGCCCUCGGGUUGUAAAGCACUUUCAGUGAGGAAGAACGCCUGGUGGUUAAUACCCAUCAGGAAAGACAUCACUCACAGAAGAAGCACCGGCUAACUCCGUGCCAGCAGCCGCGGUAAUACGGAGGGUGCGAGCGUUAAUCGGAAUUACUGGGCGUAAAGCGCGCGUAGGUGGCUUGAUAAGCCGGUUGUGAAAGCCCCGGGCUCAACCUGGGAACGGCAUCCGGAACUGUCAAGCUAGAGUGUAGGAGAGGAAGGUAGAAUUCCCGGUGUAGCGGUGAAAUGCGUAGAGAUCGGGAGGAAUACCAGUGGCGAAGGCGGCCUUCUGGACUGACACUGACACUGAGGUGCGAAAGCGUGGGGAGCAAACAGGAUUAGAUACCCGGGUAGUC
This 465-nucleotide ribosomal RNA is filed under the name Vreelandella stevensii. RNAcentral's name for it is "partial 16S ribosomal RNA". It matches the Rfam family "Bacterial small subunit ribosomal RNA", at positions 338 to 795 of the family's 1533-position model. Lineage: Bacteria; Pseudomonadati; Pseudomonadota; Gammaproteobacteria; Oceanospirillales; Halomonadaceae. The record is from RNAcentral.